UUCUUAUGAUGGGAAUUUCUGGGAAAAAGGGGAUGCGUCAUCUGCCCUUUUGGCAUCCAUUUAUGUAUAUCAUUAUGCUCCUGACUUUAUCUUUUUUUAUUCAGCUCCAACCCAGAUAUAUUUUUAACAUUUACAACAAAACUCACCAACCAAAUUCCAGUAAUUUAUCAAGAACUCCCCCUGGGUCACCAAUUCCAAGUUAUAAUUUCUUUGGAAUAUGUUUCAGACUUCUCUCAAAACGUCUAUGGCGGCGAACCCAAAACGCCACCCUUUUUAACCGAUCCAAAAAUUUCACCCUUUCCGACUUCCAAAACAACUGACCAUUUAUGAGUUGUUGCUGAUUUCGCUGCCCAUUCAAGCUUUACAGUUAUGGUCUCGAAUCCGGAGAACGAACCUAGGGCCUCGAGAGACGUCGAGAAGCCGCCGAUUGAGCCCAGACGGCCACCUACGGUGGAGGAGAUGCACGGCCAAGACAUUUGGAGCAACUGCGCCGUCCGCAGUGUCGUUAGUGGAGUUAUGGGUAUGGCUAAAGUUCUUUCCUUUGGCUAAAUUUUUGGAUUUUCUCACAUGGGUUUUGAUUCUUUUUUCGUUUUUCUCUGUUUGGUUGCUGAGAAAAUGUGGGAAAGUUUCUACCAUUUUUACUGUUGGUUUUUAUUUUUUGUCCUUUAUCUCUGUUUGGUUGCCGAGGAAACGUGGGAAAGUUAUUGUCUUUUUGUUCGUCUGUUGUCUCGAUUUAUAUAUUUGUGGGUUUCAGAAUGUGCAGAAGAUUGGUGUGUUGGUAAGGUUGUGAUAGGUUUAGUUGUUCACACAAAUUUGUUACUGUUGGGGUAUGAAUGUAUCAAAAAAGGUCUAAAUUUCAUUAUUUUAAAGUGAGAAUUGGGGUUUUCUCAGUAUAGCAAACUCUACCAGAAGGUUACAUUGGAAAUUGUUCAACGGUUUCCACAAAUUCUUUGGAAUUCAAAUCACCUUUUAAUUUAGGAAUCAGACUUUUUUGGUUUUCCAAAAUCUCAUAAUCUCUCAAUAUUAUGUUUUCAACUUCUAUAUGCAAAAAAAGUUAUUCAUCGUCUCUGAAUUGCUUAUGCAUGUCAGCAUUGCAAACGAUUUACAAUUAUCAAUUGCUCAAAUUUUAUUCUGUUUGUAAUUAAUUUUGAAUGGGUGACCGGAACUUAUCAAAGUAGCAAAUGUAUAUUGUCAUUACAUUUGUUUUUGGUUGCAAAAAUUUUGUUUUGAAUUCUUUGGUUUCAUACUUUUCUUGGGAUUUUAGUGCAUUUUCAUAGAUUAUUUGGGGGUAGCAUCAUCUGUGAUACGGUCUUAGGUUUUCUAGAAUUAUUUGUCUAUCUUCUUUCUACUUUUUGCAAUGUGCAGAUGGAGCCCAUCCCAAGUGGAAAUCUGCCUUCCGGAUUUGACCCCACUCAAUGCAACAGUGUGUAGGUGCUAGAUAUCGAUCUUCUUUUUUCCUCUAUUUCUAGAAUCUUAUGUUUUUUUUUUCCCAUUCAUCUUUAUAUUUGUCUACUUGAAGUUUCUUUAUCCUGAAUAUUUCGUGUAUAUUAGAUUCUCCAAUAUUUCUUCUUAUCACACCCUCCCAAUCUGAACUUCAUCGUAGACGUACUUUCUUUCCCUUUUAAUUGCUUCUUAGGGCUUCUCUGUUUUGAUUUUCAUCAUCCAAUUUGUUAAAUUUGUUGUUAAUUUCAGGGUACUGCCAAUUUUCUGCUGAUUCCAAUUCCACACUUCAGAAAGGUACUGGGACGUUGUUUGGAACAGAACUAGAGGUGACGAUGUGGUGGAAAAACAGCCACCACCACCACUUUGUCCAAAUCUGACGGCUUGCGCUGUAGCAUCUGCUUGAAUCUCCCCGCACAACUGGACUCCGGGACGUUUUCCAAAUAAACUCCAGACUCCAAAGGGUGCGGCUGAAAGAGUAGAAUCUGAGGCAAUCAAAUCCAAUCCAGGGAAGAGAUUGGAUAGUUUCUGAGGCUAAUCCGAAGAACACAGUUCAGGUAUUGACAAUGGCAGGCAAAGGGGUUCGGGUUUUGGCUACUCCAACCUCUUGGCAGGAUUUUGGCUUGCAUGCAAGGAACUCUGGUUGUGAGAAGAAGAAGCCAGUUCCUUGCUAUUUUUAGAUUACGCCUAAAACAAAUGGUUCCUGCAACAACGUGCGGACGUAUUUGCUAGUACAACCGGUUACAAGCAUACUCUCUCCCAUCCGAGAUGCUCUUAUUUGAUACUUCAUUUUGGCAUUUUUGUGUAUUUAAGUCAAACGUGGGGGCUCCUCUCUUCGUCUAAUUUUUCCAACAAUAAUGCUACUAUUGUUGAAAAGUCUGAUGGCAAUGAAUGCCCACAGUUCAUUAGCAGAAUUCUUCAACAUGGGCAGAAGUUUUCAAUGCCCAUGCAAAGUGAAAUUUGAAUAUGAAAAAUACAUAGAAAUUGUAUUGUCAAA
This is a long non-coding RNA of Pyrus x bretschneideri (Chinese white pear), 2437 nucleotides long. RefSeq lists it as uncharacterized. NCBI's taxonomy places the organism in Eukaryota, Viridiplantae, Streptophyta, Magnoliopsida, Rosales, Rosaceae. The transcript is spliced from 6 exons. The record is from RefSeq and is a predicted model, not a curated record.